GGGGAGGUGGUGAUGCAGUCAGACGAAGUGGGCACCUUGGAAAAUAUGGAGACUACAGAUGUGGCUCAGGAGGAGGAGGAGACACAGUCUGAAGAAGUAACAACAACAGUGAUCAGAAACAACGAGAUCAACUUCUUCAAAUAAACAGAGAAAUAACUUAAAG
Molecule: long non-coding RNA, 163 nt
Organism: Bombina bombina (fire-bellied toad)
Lineage: Eukaryota; Metazoa; Chordata; Amphibia; Anura; Bombinatoridae
Exons: 3
Source: RefSeq, a predicted model, not a curated record